UUGGAUGUGGCGCACGGUGCACAUCGGCUCUUUAUAACCUUGUCCCAUCGUAUUGCAAGCUGAAAGCCGGGGUUCGACUCCCUGCAUCCGAA
Mycena rebaudengoi is the source of this 92-nucleotide non-coding RNA. NCBI's taxonomy places the organism in Eukaryota, Fungi, Basidiomycota, Agaricomycetes, Agaricales, Mycenaceae. The record is from the annotation of a GenBank genome assembly.